CUGCCUGAGGACUUCUGUCUGCACAAAAGUGUCAUGCCAGCACUAUCUUUCUCUCUGGCUCUCACUCUCUCAUUAGUAUACAGCCAGAACCACUGGAAAGUGUGCAGCUCCUUAAAAAUGCAUGGGAUCAGGAAGGAAUGGGGUACAGGAAUAUCAAUCAAGCUCAAUCGGCUGUAUGAACAGCAGGGGGGAGACAUAAACUUAAGAAAGAAGAUAGACUUCGUAUUACUGCCCUGGAGAUGUUGUAAUUUCACACACAGACUUCGCAUUGCAAAAACACCAGAUAGAGGGAGAUACAUGCUGUUUAUUAAGCCCAUGUGAGGAGAGACAAGAGCCUCUCAUGGAUCUAUUUAUGGAGGAAGCAGCUCGUAGUUGUUUGUAAAGGAGGGCAGAUUGUUCCUCUCCUCGCAUGAUUCACCAGGGCCAAAGUCAGCCGGAUUAGGGGACGAUCCGUUCCGAGAGACCCCUGCCAGGUCAACCCCUCACAGAUGGAUAUGUAUGAAGUGGCUGAGUUACGAAUGCCUGUCCUCUGAAAAAGUUUAGAGUGGCUGAAAGCACAAACGCUUCUCUUUGACACGGGUCAGGUGCCAAGCAUCAACAUGGAGAGAUUCAGCUCAAACGUGGAGCGAAACGGCUCUUAAUCAAUUGCAGAAACAAGGUGGCACAGUUGCAUUUCGCAGAGGUCUCCUCCACAGAACCUGUCUUUCCUCUUCUGGGUCUCUGUUCUCUGGUCCUCAAGCACUGGCUGCCAUAGCUACGGCUGUCACAUUCACAGGAGACACACCUGAGGACACAUGAAAAGACUCGGAGGAACUGGUUCCAGCUCAGGCGUCUGGUGGCUGGGAGCGCGGUGACAGUGAGACACGGCCCGCGCGUGGAAAAACUCCACCUCUGCGGUCGCAUCUGGCAGGACGGGGAGAUUCUGCGCUCAAGUGGAUCCCUGAAGUGGAACUGUACGUAUAACCGCCACAGUGGCAGGCCGCUUAUCGCACCACUGACUCAAACUUCAAGGAGUAAUGUACUUUCAACAUGAUGGGGAUGAUGUCCAACCACUGCAUCAUGUUCACAUUGUGACACACAUAAACGCAUGACUUUUUUACUUUCGGUGCUCUUUCAAGGGCAAACAGAGGUACCAGUGCUCCUUUUCCCUUCAAGACAAGUGCUAGUAGCAUUCACAAAAGGGACAGUUACUCUCCUACAUAAUUGAAUUACCAUGGCAUGGCAUAAUAAAUAUGCAGCUUAUCAAAGUUAUCAAUUUAUUAAAGUUCAAUUCUUUUUUUUCACCGUUUUUUUCACCGUUGCGUUGUUGUAAAUGGCUGUUUGUGAUUUUUGGCUAGGAGUUUGGAACGAGGGCUUUUUCUGCAAGGCGAGGAGUGGACUUGAGUUCUUUAAUUGUCUCCAGUUUUCUGUAUUUCUCUCUUGCAUUACGUAUGUGAAGGCAAACUAUUUGCAUAAAAUUUACGCUCUUCAUAAUAAAUGGCUUUGACAUUUCCAAUUGAUUAGCACUCCCUGUAGAAUUUGUCUGGCAAAAGCUAAACAAAAUUAUAAUGAUAGACUUCUUCAUCAUCGUCAUCUGAAUUGUUAUUACUGGAGAAAUGUUUCAGGUGAACUUGCUUGAGCCAGCACUCGACUAUUCCUAAUCAGGUUCCUGCAAAUAUGACUUGAUGUGUGCAAGUUUUAUUUAAUGUCUGAUUUAUAGCAGGGAAUUAUUUGAUAAGGAACACUCAUUGAAUGUAAUUAAAUGACAAUAAUCAUGGACAAUUAUGGGCAAUUAUCUUGAGAGCUAGGGAAAAGGAAGAAUUGCAAGGUCAAAUCACAUUCAGAAUUUUGAAAGCUAUUGUUUUACUGCAGAGAGGUUUUGAUCUGACGUGCUGAUUGUGCUGAAGACGCGACAGACCGAUGAAGAGCAACAUGAGCCCUCACCCUCAGGAUGCACCUCAUCACGGUGUCUGCUGGACCGCAUCAGACAUCUGAAAAUCACAUAUCGAGUUGUGCAAUGUAUAUCAUCUUCUGCUGAUGUACUCUUAGGGCGUGUCAAUUCAUCACUUAUUAGUACACUGUGUUUUUUUUUCUUGAUUACUUUUGACAAGAACAACUCUAAGUACAGGGGUGGCAUUGACAGAAAUGUGUUUCUCAGCGUAUUUCUUAUCACUCAGUUAGCCAUUUCCUUCGUCCUCCUCGUGUUACCGUCACUGUUGUGUAAGCAGAGCCUGGGCCAUGGAAGAGGAAGCUGACACAGUUCAGCCUUGGGUGUACCCUAUAGUCUACUCGUGCCAAGCACUUUCAACUCUUCAACCUCAACAGGAAC
Molecule: long non-coding RNA, 2308 nt
Organism: Clupea harengus (Atlantic herring)
Lineage: Eukaryota; Metazoa; Chordata; Actinopteri; Clupeiformes; Clupeidae
Source: Ensembl